GGAGCUUGCUCCACCGAAAGAAAAAGAGUGGCGAACGGGUGAGUAACACGUGGGUAACCUGCCCAUCAGAAGGGGAUAACACUUGGAAACAGGUGCUAAUACCGUAUAACACUAUUUUCCGCAUGGAAGAAAGUUGAAAGGCGCUUUUGCGUCACUGAUGGAUGGACCCGCGGUGCAUUAGCUAGUUGGUGAGGUAACGGCUCACCAAGGCAACGAUGCAUAGCCGACCUGAGAGGGUGAUCGGCCACACUGGGACUGAGACACGGCCCAGACUCCUACGGGAGGCAGCAGUAGGGAAUCUUCGGCAAUGGACGAAAGUCUGACCGAGCAACGCCGCGUGAGUGAAGAAGGUUUUCGGAUCGUAAAACUCUGUUGUUAGAGAAGAACAAGGAUGAGAGUAAAAUGUUCAUCCCUUGACGGUAUCUAACCAGAAAGCCACGGCUAACUACGUGCCAGCAGCCGCGGUAAUACGUAGGUGGCAAGCGUUGUCCGGAUUUAUUGGGCGUAAAGCGAGCGCAGGCGGUUUCUUAAGUCUGAUGUGAAAGCCCCCGGCUCAACCGGGGAGGGUCAUUGGAAACUGGGAGACUUGAGUGCAGAAGAGGAGAGUGGAAUUCCAUGUGUAGCGGUGAAAUGCGUAGAUAUAUGGAGGAA
This 651-nucleotide ribosomal RNA is filed under the name uncultured Bacilli bacterium. RNAcentral describes it as "bacterial SSU rRNA". It matches the Rfam family "Bacterial small subunit ribosomal RNA", at positions 75 to 706 of the family's 1533-position model. The record is from RNAcentral. Lineage: Bacteria; Bacillati; Bacillota; Bacilli.